Molecule: ribosomal RNA, 447 nt
Filed under: uncultured bacterium
Lineage: Bacteria
Description: bacterial SSU rRNA
Rfam family: Bacterial small subunit ribosomal RNA
Source: RNAcentral
UGGGGAAUAUUGGACAAUGGGCGAAAGCCUGAUCCAGCCAUGCCGCGUGAGUGACGAAGGCCUUAGGGUUGUAAAACUCUUUCGUCGGGGACGAUAAUGACGGUACCCGAAGAAGAAGCUCCGGCUAACUUCGUGCCAGCAGCCGCGGUAAUACGAAGGGAGCUAGCGUUGUUCGGAAUCACUGGGCGUAAAGCGCACGUAGGCGGAUAGUUAAGUCAGGGGUGAAAUCCUGGGGCUCAACUCCAGAACUGCCUUUGAUACUGGCUGUCUCGAGGUCGAGAGAGGUUGGUGGAAUUCCUAGUGUAGAGGUGAAAUUCGUAGAUAUUAGGAAGAACACCAGUGGCGAAGGCGGCCAACUGGCUCGAUACUGACGCUGAGGUGCGAAAGCGUGGGGAGCAAACAGGAUUAGAUACCCAGGUAGUCCCUGAGCGGGCUGGCAAGGCGCAU